This 506-nucleotide ribosomal RNA is filed under the name uncultured bacterium. RNAcentral's name for it is "partial 16S ribosomal RNA". It matches the Rfam family "Bacterial small subunit ribosomal RNA", at positions 29 to 523 of the family's 1533-position model. The record is from RNAcentral.
AGUGAACGCUGGCGGUAGGCCUAACACAUGCAAGUCGAACGGCAGCACAGAGGAGCUUGCUCCUUGGGUCGCGAGUGGCGGACGGGUGAGGAAUACAUCGGAAUCUACUCUGUCGUGAGGGAUAACGUAGGGAAACUUACGCUAAUACCGCAUACGACCUACGGGUGAAAGCAGGGGACCUUCGGGCCUUGCGCGAUUGAAUGAGCCGAUGUCGGAUUAGCGAGUUGGCGGGGUAAAGGCCCACCAAGGCGACGAUCCGUAGCUGGUCUGAGAGGAUAAUCAGCAACACUGGAACUGAGACACGGUCCAGACUCCUACGGGAGGCAGCAGUGGGGAAUAUUGGACAAUGGGCGCAAGCCUGAUCCAGCCAUACCGCGUGGGUGAAGAAGGCCUUCGGGUUGUAAAGCCCUUUUGUUGGGAAAGAAAUCCAGCUGGCUAAUACCCGGUUGGGAUGACGGUACCCAAAGAAUAAGCACCGGCUAACUUCGUGCCAGCCGCCGCCGUAA